GAAUGCUGACAUAAGUAACGAUAAAGCGGGUGAAAAGCCCGCUCGCCGGAAGACCAAGGGUUCCUGUCCAACGUUAAUCGGGGCAGGGUGAGUCGACCCCUAAGGCGAGGCCGAAAGGCGUAGUCGAUGGGAAACGGGUUAAUAUUCCCGUACUUGGUGUUACUGCGAAGGGGGGACGGAGAAGGCUAUGUUGGCCGGGCGACGGUUGUCCCGGUUUAAGCGUGUAGGUGUGUGUUCCAGGUAAAUCCGGUUCACUUUAACACUGAGGCGUGACGACGAGGCACUACGGUGCUGAAGCAACAAAUGCCCUGCUUCCAGGAAAAGCCUCUAAGCAUCAGGUAACAUCAAAUCGUACCCCAAACCGACACAGGUGGUCAGGUAGAGAAUACCAAGGCGCUUGAGAGAACUCGGGUGAAGGAACUAGGCAAAAUGGUGCCGUAACUUCGGGAGAAGGCACGCUGACACGUAGGUGAAGUGAUUUACUCAUGGAGCUGAAGUCAGUCGAAGAUACCAGCUGGCUGCAACUGUUUAUUAAAAACACAGCACUGUGCAAACACGAAAGUGGACGUAUACGGUGUGACGCCUGCCCGGUGCCGGAAGGUUAAUUGAUGGGGUCAGCGCAAGCGAAGCUCCUGAUCGAAGCCCCGGUAAACGGCGGCCGUAACUAUAACGGUCCUAAGGUAGCGAAAUUCCUUGUCGGGUAAGUUCCGACCUGCACGAAUGGCGUAAUGAUGGCCAGGCUGUCUCCACCCGAGACUCAGUGAAAUUGAACUCGCUGUGAAGAUGCAGUGUACCCGCGGCAAGACGGAAAGACCCCGUGAACCUUUACUAUAGCUUGACACUGAACAUUGAGCCUUGAUGUGUAGGAUAGGUGGGAGGCUUUGAAGUGUGGACGCCAGUCUGCAUGGAGCCGACCUUGAAAUACCACCCUUUAAUGUUUGAUGUUCUAACGUGGACCCGUUACCCGGGUUGCGGACAGUGUCUGGUGGGUAGUUUGACUGGGGCGGUCUCCUCCUAAAGAGUAACGGAGGAGCACGAAGGUUGGCUAAUCCUGGUCGGACAUCAGGAGGUUAGUGCAAUGGCAUAAGCCAGCUUGACUGCGAGCGUGACGGCGCGAGCAGGUGCGAAAGCAGGUCAUAGUGAUCCGGUGGUUCU
RNAcentral lists this ribosomal RNA (1155 nucleotides) under Salmonella enterica subsp. enterica serovar Enteritidis. RNAcentral's name for it is "partial 23S ribosomal RNA". It matches the Rfam family "Bacterial large subunit ribosomal RNA", at positions 1292 to 2430 of the family's 2925-position model. Lineage: Bacteria; Pseudomonadati; Pseudomonadota; Gammaproteobacteria; Enterobacterales; Enterobacteriaceae. The record is from RNAcentral.